This 490-nucleotide ribosomal RNA is filed under the name uncultured bacterium. Its description in RNAcentral is "partial 16S ribosomal RNA". It matches the Rfam family "Bacterial small subunit ribosomal RNA", at positions 28 to 507 of the family's 1533-position model. The record is from RNAcentral.
GAUGAACGCUAGCUACAGGCUUAACACAUGCAAGUCGAGGGGCAGCAUGGUCUUAGCUUGCUAAGGCCGAUGGCGACCGGCGCACGGGUGAGUAACACGUAUCCAACCUGCCGCCUACUCUUGGCCAGCCUUCUGAAAGGAAGAUUAAUACAAGAUGGCAUCAUGAGUUCACAUAUCCACAUGAUUAAAGGUAUUCCGGUAGACGAUGGGGAUGCGUUCCAUUAGAUAGUAGGCGGGGUAACGGCCCAUCUAGUCUUCGCUGGAUAGGGGUUCUGAGAGGAAGGCCCCCCACAUUGGAACUGAGACACGGUCCAAAAUCCUACGGGAGGCAGCAGUGAGGAAUAUUGGUCGAUGAGCGAGAGCCUGAACCAGCCAAGUAGCGUGAAGGAUGACUGCCCUAUGGGUUGUAAACUUCUUUUAUAAAGGAAUAAAGUCGGGUAUGUAUACCCGUUUGCAUGUACUUUAUGAAUAAGGAUCGGCUAACUCCGUG